Canis lupus familiaris (dog) is the source of this 594-nucleotide long non-coding RNA. RefSeq lists it as uncharacterized. The transcript is spliced from 2 exons. The record is from RefSeq and is a predicted model, not a curated record. NCBI's taxonomy places the organism in Eukaryota, Metazoa, Chordata, Mammalia, Carnivora, Canidae.
CCAAAGGUAGGGAUCGUCUACUACUGCUCUGAAGCAAACUGUGCCUCCUAGGCACAGUAUGACAAGUGCUACUGCCAUCUCAACUAUGUGCCUGCACUAGGCUGUGCUCUCUCAUAGACACAGUCAAUGGGAUGGCAGGUGCGGGCACCAGGCAGGAUGGGACAUAGUCAUCACCUCCAGGAAACAGAAAGUAAAGCAGUAAGAAACCAGGAAUGAUGGCAUGAGACACCCAUGCACCCACCUAAAAGCUGAAGAUUCAUCCCAAGGGGAGCAUGGCCCUGCAUCAAGAUCUGAAAAUCCUAACCUACUGAUUACAGUACUCGGUUCACUCAAUUCCACAGAUGAGAAGGAUCCUUUAGUUAAUAGUGAUAGCAUCAUUGCUUGGCUGCCAAACUCAAUCAAGAAAGCUUGAAUCUUUGUCUUCAUGGAAGAUCAAGAGAAAACAUUGAUGGCAAAAAUCUAUUUAGUAUUAUCUUAGAAAUCCACACAUAUUUCAAGUCUUUAUGAACAAGUAAAAAAAAAAAAAGUGGUUUAUACCACAGCCUACAGGAUGGAGAUUAGACAAAGAAAAAACUUCUGGCAUUUAAAAUUAAA